ACUCAGGACCUCUGGAAGCACAGU
This 24-nucleotide non-coding RNA is filed under the name Cricetulus griseus (Chinese hamster). The record is from RNAcentral. Lineage: Eukaryota; Metazoa; Chordata; Mammalia; Rodentia; Cricetidae.